UGUAAGCGUAUACCAAAGUUGUUGCAGUUAAAACGCUCGUAGUCGGAAUUUGGCAGUUCCGGAUGUGUGCACGUCGUGUGCGCACUUCGCGGGGAUUGCUUUUGUGGUCUUGCGUAGGAUGAGGCACUUUUAUUAGUGAACGUCCUCACGCAACCACUUUUUACCGUGAGAAAAUCAGAGUGCUCAAAGCAGGCAUUUGCCGUGAAUGUAUUAGCAUGGAAUAAUAGAAUAGGAAUUGGUUCUAUUUUGUUGGUUUGUUGGGACUGAGUAAUGAUUAAGAGGGACAGUUGGGGGCAUUUGUAUUUCGGUGCUAGAGGUGAAAUUCUUAGAUUACCGAAAGACAAACUGCUGCGAAAGCGUCUGCCAAGGAUGUUUUCAUUGA
RNAcentral lists this ribosomal RNA (382 nucleotides) under uncultured eukaryote. Its description in RNAcentral is "partial 18S ribosomal RNA". It matches the Rfam family "Eukaryotic small subunit ribosomal RNA", at positions 592 to 976 of the family's 1831-position model. The record is from RNAcentral.